AUCCAUCUGAGGAGUCGAAAAUAGGACGAAACGCGCUUCCUGGUU
Schistosoma margrebowiei is the source of this 45-nucleotide non-coding RNA. The record is from Rfam. Lineage: Eukaryota; Metazoa; Platyhelminthes; Trematoda; Strigeidida; Schistosomatidae.